This 186-nucleotide ribosomal RNA is filed under the name Enterococcus casseliflavus. RNAcentral's name for it is "partial 16S ribosomal RNA". It matches the Rfam family "Bacterial small subunit ribosomal RNA", at positions 129 to 310 of the family's 1533-position model. Lineage: Bacteria; Bacillati; Bacillota; Bacilli; Lactobacillales; Enterococcaceae. The record is from RNAcentral.
CCCAUCAGAAGGGGAUAACACUUGGAAACAGGUGCUAAUACCGUAUAACACUAUUUUCCGCAUGGAAGAAAGUUGAAAGGCGCUUUUGCGUCACUGAUGGAUGGACCCGCGGUGCAUUAGCUAGUUGGUGAGGUAACGGCUCACCAAGGCAACGAUGCAUAGCCGACCUGAGAGGGUGAUCGGCCA